Long non-coding RNA from Peromyscus californicus insignis, 592 nucleotides. RefSeq lists it as uncharacterized. The transcript has 2 exons. NCBI's taxonomy places the organism in Eukaryota, Metazoa, Chordata, Mammalia, Rodentia, Cricetidae. The record is from RefSeq and is a predicted model, not a curated record.
AGAGAUGUAAUACAAAUACAUCAGUCUCACAGGUUGAAUGUGAUUACUUCUAUCCAGGACGUAUUGGUGUGUGCUAAUAAUCCACGGCAGAGCGUGAGCUACACGCAGCACAGAAUGCAGGGAGCUGUCCGGAGCUGUCACUGCGCCCACAGUCCAGGAGCCAAAGGAAACGGCACCCACCGAAGCCAGUUCUGCUGGCUUUCUCUGGUGAAUUCUGAGAGGAAAAAAGACAGGAGGGGCGGGGGAAGGAAGGAAGAAUGAAGAGAGACAGAGGGAGGGGGUGUAAACAACAACAAAGCACACCUCCAGUCCUAAAUUACAGCAGCCUGGGUGCGGAGGUGGGGCUCUGGUGUCGGUUUCCACAGCGCCACCUCCUCAGCAGCCCUGACAACACUCUUAAUAAUAGCUCAAGGGCCGAGCGCAGAGGAGUCCUGGACCGCCGGGGAGCCGGCUCCUCCAUUCUUAAAAACCCACCGGAAGGAGCGCCGCCGCUGUAUGAACCUUCUAUUUGAAAGAGUGAAUUGGAGCUUACACUCUUUCUUUGUUGGCGGUUUUAUUUUUCUCAACUUAAAAAUAAAUGCGUUAAAAUGCA